Molecule: ribosomal RNA, 397 nt
Filed under: uncultured bacterium
Lineage: Bacteria
Description: partial 16S ribosomal RNA
Rfam family: Bacterial small subunit ribosomal RNA
Source: RNAcentral
AUACGCAGGUGACAAGCGUUAUCCGGAUUUACUGGGCGUAAAGGGCGUGUAGGCGGUCUUGCAAGUCAGAAGUGAAAUUCCUGAGCUCAACUCGGGCGCUGCUUCUGAAACUGCAGGACUUGAGUGCUGGAGGGGAUAGCGGAAUUCCUAGUGGAGCGGUAAAAUGCGCAGAUAUUAGGAAGAACACCGGUGGCGAAGGCGGCUAUCUGGACAGUAACUGACACUGAGGAGCGAAAGCGUGGGGAGCAAACAGGAUUAGAUGCCCUGGUAGUCCACGCCGUAAACGAUGGAUACUAGGUGUAGGGGGUAUCGACUCCCUCUGUGCCGCAGUUAACACAAUAAGUAUUCCGCCUGGGGAGUACGGCCGCAAGGUUGAAACUCAAAUGAAUUGACGGGG